GCAAGUCGAGGGGCAGCAUUUACUUCGGUAAGAUGGCGACCGCCGCACGGGUCCGUCACGCGUAUGCAACCUACCUUAUACAGAGGGAUAGCCCAUGGACACGUGGAUUAAUACCUCAUAGUAUUGUUUAAUCGCAUGAUUUUACAAUUAAAAUUUCGAUGGUAUAAGAUGGGCAUGCGUCUGAUUAGUUAGUUGGUGAGGUAACGGCUCACCAAGACGACGAUCAGUAGGGGUUCUGAGAGGAUGAUC
This 249-nucleotide ribosomal RNA is filed under the name uncultured bacterium. RNAcentral describes it as "partial 16S ribosomal RNA". It matches the Rfam family "Bacterial small subunit ribosomal RNA", at positions 57 to 305 of the family's 1533-position model. The record is from RNAcentral.